CUCUCUUUUUUUUUUUUUUUUUUAAAUAAAGUUUGUUAUUAUUGCAAGGGGAAGGAGGAAAGGGCCUCCAGACUGUGAAACAGGCGGAAGAGGAACAAUGUGAGUUCCCUGACAGCCCCCAGCCCAGGCCACAGUGCCGCCCUGCCCGCUGCCACACAGCAGCCUACAUGGGAAACCCUUCCCGGCCCUUCCCUGCCCGUCCUCCCCCACCUCCUCCUCCUCCUCUCCCGGAACACACAGGCACUAGUUAUUAGGGAUUAGGUGGAACAGAUGCAUGUAAGAUGCUUACUGCCUUUUCCAGACACAAGGCCACUUUCCAAUCAGCUCAGAGGAAACAGGGUAAUUAGAUGGAGUCGCGGUCAGGGAGUGGGGGGGAAUUAGCCUCUUACUCAACCAGAGCCUGCAAGGCCACCUCUCCCCCCCACACUCCCUCCUUUCCCCUCCUCCUCAUUCCUCUGCCCACUCUGCCGUUUCAAAGCUUUUUAUUUUUUCUUUCCCUUUUCCAAGAGGCAGCUGAUGCUGCCGGCUGGCUGCCAAGCAGGUCAGGCCUCUGCAGCUGAAGCUGCCCGAGAUUGCUGAGCGGGAUGAUGAAUCAGCUGUGUCCUUUAGGACACAUCCUCUCUUGGACUGCUGCUGGGAUGUCCUGUCUCUCUUCCCCGUGGUGAGAGUGCGCUCAGAGCUGCUGGCUGAUGACACUGGUGCUGCCCCCUAAGGCAGAGGAUACAAGAGGGGAGCAUCAUUUUUAUGACAAGGAUCCUGUUGCAUUGCACCCUUUGCAACUGUGACCCCCUUUGGCUGGAAUGUGGGGUGCUGUGGCUGGCCUGAUGUGUUUUCUGUCUUUCUCUAGGACAGCUGAAUAAUGUCCGUAGCCAGACAUAUGCUCAUGGCCUGGAAUGAAGUCGACUGCAAUUACAUCCUAAGGGAGUCACUCAACGGGGGUUUUGUGGAGGCAGGACGCAGGCUCUGCUGGAGCUGCACAUGUGCUGUUAGACCUCCAACUGCACUCACUCUGCCUGCAGCUUUGUGGGAACAAGGAGCAGCAGGCUCAGAAAUACAGCCAGUCUGCUGCACAUCUGGAGGCAGUAAUUGGGGUGCCUGUCUCUGUGCUAGAUGAGAGCCUGUGGGGAGUUCAGGGAGUGCAGGUCUGGGCCGUGUAUCACCCUGUCACCAGGACCAAGCUGUGAGAGCAUGGCUCAGGUUUGUCAGCAAAACACCAUGGUCCUGAAAUGUCAAGCCUGAGGUGGAACUGGGAAAAGAACAUCCUAGAAGUCCUGGAUUUCUGUCUAGGGCUUUGGACACAGCUUCAGUCAAAGAUUCCUCCUUCCUGAAAGGAGAGAGAUGUCAAAGUGUAAUGUUUACAUCAAUUAUGUGAAGUCCAUUCAGACCUAUUCAACCCCCUGCCUCUGCAUAACAUUUUUUGGCAAGCAUUAACCAAUAAGGAAGGGAGUAAAUCUUGCUUGAAGUUAUUUUUCUUCCUGCUUCUGUGUCCCACCCCCAGGCGCCCCAUGGCAGGUGCUACAGAGGCUAAAACCAGUGCUCCUGCAGAGACAGAUUAGCAGCACACAAAAUGAUCUCCCUCCUCCUCGUGCACCCCAGAGCCCGGAAACUCCCCCAUCUCUCCAGCCUUGCAGCCCAGCUGUCCCAAACCCCAGACAGCAGGGAUGGAUAACAGCAGGCUGCUCUGCACUGCAGCCCAGGCGAUAGAGGAGAUAAUGGGAAUGAUUUCUUGGUACAAGUACAAGCAUGAAACCUCUGAAGAAAUACUAAGUCUAGUUGUGGUGGAAAAAAAAAAAAAAAAGAAAAAUAAAGCAAAUGCACACACAUGCACACACACAGCCUCGACCUCAUGUAAUGUUGGAGGGUUUGGUUCUAUCUGACUUUUUUUCUCAGCUGCUGGUCCUUGAACUCCUCCCAGUGUGGCUCCACAACUGGAGCAACAGCUGGCGUGCUGAGGUGCAGUGCAGGGCUGCCAGCUCUCCUCACUGCAGAUCGAGCCUUGCACUCUGUUACUGGGGGACUUCCUUGAAGCCCUCCUGCCUUUCUGCCAGAGUGCUCAGAUUGUGUGAGAAUUGUGCCUUUUGAAGGAAGAAAAAGGGGCGGGGGGCAGAAGCUAAUUAAGAAAAUAUGUUUCUAGCACUGCACUCAGGAUUGUGUAGGAAAAUUAACAAAUAGGAAAUGAGUGUGAUCUACAGUGAGUAAAAUAAUAAUAUUUUUGCCCCGAGCAGGGCUGUAUGAGCUGUUUGCAUGACAUGUGGUGGAGCAGGGGAGUGGAAGAAAAUGGAGCCCUGCUCAGUGCUGCAGGCCUUUUGCCACUGCAACUGAAGGAGUAAAAACUUAUUUUGCUACUCUGGAUGCUAGCUCAUGGCAGGCAAUUGUUUUAGCUAUGGCAAAUGAAGCCCAAGGAAGGGUCCAUCACAGAUUAACUCCUAAGCCUUAGGGUGUUUUGCUAAGUGAGGUGCCAGACCAGUGUGUGGAAAUCUUGUUCCUGAAUUAUUAUUCCUUUUAAAUGUUAGGCUAUGUCUGCAAAGAUGAAGUGUUUCCUGGCCUUGCUUUUCAGUAUUGCUAUUCUUUCCAUCCUCUAUGGCUUCUACAGUGGAUACAGAGACAUGAGCUUUCAAUACCUGCAAAUUUCCAUCUGGUUUGUUAGCAGCACUCCUCAUUAAGGGGAUUAUGAAAAGUUGGAGAUGCUACAGGUAAGCAUCCAAACAGUAAUGCUGGCUUCCACAAUGAGGCAGUGUGUUUUGUGUGGUUAGAGCAGCAGGAACAAGACUCAUGAGUGACAGACCAAAAAAAUCAGUGAUUGCUGUUUGGCAGGAGAGAUACUUUGUCAAGCUAGGCAAGUAUCUCCAUUGUGGUCUCUGACUCACAAUUCAAGUAUGCUGGGAACAUUUGAGGGGGCUGGGUCAGUUCUUUAAGCAGUGGGAAAACAAGGCUUUAAUGCAUCACGGCAUGACUUUGGGUCUGUGCUCUACUGUUCUGCCUUUCUUUGAGGAAACUGGUGUGGCUGGCGGUGGGGAGAGGGAGGUGUUGUGAAACCACACAUACACACACACUCACAUGUGAUUUUAAUCCCUCCUAACAGUGUUUCAGACUCAUUUGACUGUGGUGGUUGAGCUAAGCCACUUCUGACUUGCCCUCCUGAAGGUGAACAGAGGACAAGGCUGUGUGCUGGGGCUGGUGACAACUCUGUUUCAUCCUCUGCUGCAGCAGCCUGGCUGAGGUAUGCAAUGCAGAGGAGCUUGUAGAGGGGCUCACCAGCCCUUUCCAGCUGUUCACUACCACUCUGUGGGCACAAGAGUGUCACAAACUGGCCAGUGAAGCCAGGCUUGCAGCUCUGGUGUGUGGUCGUUGUGGUGGCAAAAAGCAGCCGGGCUGUUCUGGUGAAUCAGACUGUGAGGGUAGGAAGGCUUGCAAGCAGCCGGGCUCUGCUGCUUCCUUCCACUGCUGCAGAUAACGCUGCACAGCCUCCCGGGGAGGGAGGUGCAUUUAUGCCCUUACCAGAGGUGUUUUCUGUUGAUAUGGUGUGUUCCUGCACAUGGAAGGGAAGGCAGAUAUGGCCAGACAUCCUCUCCCAGAUCCUGUUGCGUGUGUGAGUGACUGCUGGCAGUGGGGUUGCUCCUUUGUGCUCCUCUGGCUGGAGGCAAGCACCCAUUUGGGGAUGCUUCCUGGAAAAUACAAAUGAUUUCUGUCCAUGGCUUUGCAUCUCCUGCUCCUGGGAGGGGCUGGAAGGAGAACCAGGAAAUGUUGCUGGAAAAGUACGGCCAAAAAUGGUCAAGACAAGGUAAGGAGCAGCCAUAUGGCAGAUGAGCUGCUGGCUCUAUAAUUAAGCCAAGUGCGCUUGGCUGUGCUCAGUUGAGAGCCUGGCUUCUUGUGUGUUCCUCCCUGCUAUGAUUCUGACCAGAAAUUCCAUUUUUGACCCGAAAAACCUUCCAGAUGAAAAUUUAAUUAUAAAAGUGAUGUAUUCCCACAAGAAACUUCAGUGUCAGCAAAUAAGCAUUUUUUUCUGAAAAACUAUUUUAUUCACACACACAAAAACCUGGCUCCCACUGCUUCCAUGCUACAGCAUUACCCUGGCAAAAACUGUUGAUUUGUUUAAUAAAAAUGAUUAUGGUUUGCAACUAGCAUCCAUUAGGCAUGCAAGUUGCAAAGAGUUGACAUCGGUCCUGAAGUCCUCUUGCACAGGAUAAAUUUUCUUGGCAACUUAUUAAAUCAUGACCUAUGCUAUAUCUGUGAUUUAUAAAAGGUUUCUGGCAGUGGAGAAGUGGGAUGAAUCAAUCAUGGGAGUGCUAACCCAGAUAACAAGAUUUUCUUUCCUUUGGUGCAACAAAUUCCUUGCUUUCUGCAGAGCAAAGGUGCAAGUGUUUUCCUCCAGACUUGUAACAGGCUUUGGAAACAUUUUUCUUAUCUAAAGGUCUUUGCUCAUGGUUGUUAUUGGUUCCAUAUUUACUUGGGAUCUUUGCAUGCAGAGGAUGGCUUUUGGCUUGCAAAGAGGAACUUCUCCAAGGCUGGACUGUUUCCCCUUUACACUCCUGAGUCUCCAAGAUUGCAUGUAAUGCUCAGAAAGACUUCUAGGUGCAAGGUGCUUUUCUGUGUCUAACAGAAAAUUCUGCCAGCUCAUUCAUAAAGGCCAGAUAAAAUAAGGUUUGUAAAGUCAACAUGUUCAAGAAGAUAUGCCUUUCUGGGAAACAAGCGGAGAGGAGGUGUGUAUUUAUACGGACAAAAGCAGUCCAAACUGUGAACCAUAAUGUAUCUGUUAGCUCAUUAAUGCAUCUGAUGCUGACUAAUUCCAGGGGUGUUCCUGCUGCCCGGCAGCAAAAGUGCAAAUAAGUGGACAGCUGUGAUUUAGUGCCAAAUAUUUGAACACAUCAUGACAAUUCAGGCCACCCACUCUCUUAAAUAAAUACAACUUCUGGAGAAUCAUUUCAAACUGGGCUGAAGUGCAGAGCACCCACUUUCAUGUGCAUCUCAACCAAACGGCCCUUAAGUAUUUGGGGCCAAACUUUGCCUUCUGUUACACCCCUGGAGCCCUCAUUCACUCCAGAGUUUGCACCAUGUAGCUGAGUGGCAGAGCUGACUCUUUAUGCUAAUCUGACUUUUUCUAGCUCAGUAAGUACAAUUUCACAUGUAAAUGUAAAUGUGGAACAGAUCUGGACUCGAUUAGCUCCUGAAUCCUUGACAAAAAGCCAUAACUGUUUAUCCAGAUGAAGUUUCUUUCUCUUUUAUUUUCUCUACACUUUAAACCCAAGGUUUUAAUGGGCUUGUGAAAUAAAUACAUGAGUGUAGAUUACAGUGGUAUCAAAGGUGUGAGGAAAGCCCUCCCCUUCUCCUCAGCAGGGCUGAAUGAUCACUUGGUGCACACUUCAGUUGUGCUCUCCAGAGCCUUUGGCAGAGGUGGCUGUGGAUCUAACUGAUGGUGGGAGGAAGGGUAUUUCCAAGACAGCACUUGGCCUGGGGCUCUCAUUACAGAUGUAAAGGACCUGUGAUAUAUAUAUGUGUGGGUUUUUUUUUUUUUUUUUCCUAGUAGGCAGUGAAAUCUGUGCUUGUGGCUAUAUCUGGGGCACAGGGUUGUUGGAGGAGGAGAAAAGCAAGGGAAUAUGGAAAAAAACUGUAUUUAUCAGGGUAAUCUAGUUUAGGAGCACAAGUACUAAAACAUUUUAAUCACAAUCAUACGGCUGUGUGUCACUUCAGGGCAGAAUUAAGGCUAUUUGUAUUCCUUGGUAGCACACUGCCACACUUCAACAAGUUUGAAUUUAUUUUAAGCAUAACUUUAACUCUGAAUUCCCUGGGUUUGUAAUGUCUGGUCUGGAAAUAAAUGCAACCUCUUUAUAUCGUACUUUACUCUUAAAAUAGGCUUUCCACUUUAGCUCCAUUUCUGUUGGCUCGACAAGAGCAUGGGCUGUCAUUUCCUGCCCCGCUGGGUUUGCUGUUUAAAUGGAGAGGGCGGUGUAUCCGAAUAAAGGAACACAGCAGUAAAAGCUGGGAUGGGAGAGGGAUGGCACUCCCAGGGCAGCUGUGCCACAGCUCAGUUAUUGCUUUAACUGCCCAUGCCUGACUAUCUCCUGCAUGAAUGUGGCUACCUUUGGCACAGAGGUACUUUCCUUGGGGGUAGAAGGAGCUCAUAAGGGGUCAAAGUUUCAAAUCCAGUUUCAUGCUGUGGAAGUGACAUUGUGAUCUCAGCUCCCAGUAAGGCCACUGGAAUUGGUGGGAUGAUGUUCAGCUCACACCAGGCUCCUUGUGAGCUUGGCUGACACCUCUGGAGCUGUGUGCUGCAGGUCUUCAUGUGCCACAAUGGAGAGGCUGCUCCUGGCCAGGCUGGGCACAGCUGGCCCAGCGGUGUGCCCAGGAAUGGGGCAAAGGGUAGUCCCCUGCAGGAGAAGUUACUCUGUUUGCCUCCUCUCAGGGGAAAUCAACUCCUUCUCCUCCUGUGAUAGGGAAGGCUGGUGGCUCAGGGAGCUCUGGGGACAGAGUCCAUGCCCUGGCUGUUUUUAACAUGGAUUUCUUCGGACAAGGCUUCUUGACAGGAGAGAAACAGCAUAAUUUGUGGAGUUUUUCUGCCUUGGCUUCUGCCUGCAGCCAUUACCUCCUUCCCUCACUCCCAAGCCAUUCUGCUCGGCUUCUUGCCUUGCUACACAUCCAGUGACACAGUGAAUACAUACAUCCCCCUCUCUCCCUCGCUCUCCUGUGCAAGUUCCCUCAAUCUCUCCCUCAUUUCCCUCCCAAUACACCCAUGCCCUACCCCCUGACUAAAACAAAAUUUCCCUCUUCUUUUGGCAACUGGCCUUCCCAGGGGCCCAGACUAACAGAAGCCUGAGCCCUGACUGACUGUGCCUUGGCCAGAGCAGAGCAACUCUUUGCUGAGAGAUAAUGUUGCCUUAAAGGAGAAGGGAUUUUUUUUUUAUUUCCCUAUCUGUUUCACUGUCUUGCUCACCCAUUUGUUUCUAAACUUCCAUGAAGAGAAUGAUGCUUGUGCCUGGGACCAGCUGCCUCCCAGUCACCUACUGGGAGUUCCCCUCUUCCUGGACAAUCUUGCUGCCUGUGGAGUUCACCUCUGAGCCAGGCCUCCUGUAAUUAAAGCAAGCCUUGCUUUUGACUUUCUGCAAGCUCUGGAUUUCUGCAAGGCCUUUCCAGGACUUGCAGCUUUCCUCCAGCUCAGCCCUUGCAAGCCAAAUGAUGAAGCUUCCAGGGCUUCUCCCGCGGGAUGGCUCCAGUGCAUGCAUCUCACUGUCAGGAAGCUUUUCCUGACACUCAGCCUAAAUUUUCCCCCUUUCAAAUGUCAUCCUGGCACUCCUACUUAGCAUGCACUUUCUGUGCGGCUCACUCCCUCUGAGCAGGCUGUGCUUUUCCCUCUCCACUGCCUGGGCUCUUUCUGGUGCUUGCUGGCUGUCACCCACUUUUCUCGCACCCGCCUCAGCUUGGCCAGUCCAAGCACAUUAUCUUACAGCUCAUUUCCCUUUAUAAAUCAAACCUCCUAGGCAUUUUCCUCUCUUUUUUUUUUUUCUUAGCUCUUUCUUAUUUUUCUUUUUAAAAAUUUUUUCUCCUUUUCCCUUCUCUCCACCACACAGGAGGGAUUUUUGGGUGUCUGCCCCAUGGCUCAGAACACUUUUCUCUCCACUUUCAUUGGCAAGGGUUUUAGUAUGAAGUGCUGACAUUUCUUUGUUUCUGUGGGCAGCUCCCUCUUGUAAUGAAUGGCUGGGAAUGGGUAAAUGCACAACCAGAGGUCCUGGGAGCAGCCCAGGCAGGUGCCCCUCAACCUGUGCUGCGCUCAUGCAAACUCUCCAGUACAAACUGAGCUCCCAUUGUUGACCUCCUCUGUGUGGAGUCAUGAUCACUCUCCCCUGUCUGGACACUUUCCAUGGAUUUUGUGGAUCUGAUGAUAUUAAACCUCUGCUGAGUUAGGUCUGUGUGGGCAAUGACCUUGAGUUCAGGGAGGACUGGAAAUUAGGAGGGGCAGGCUGUACCUCAUGGUGAGCCCACGUGAAAUGGCUCCAUGUGCCUCAUUUCUUUAUCAAGCCAGCCUGAAUGUUCUGCCUGAUGAGGAACAGAGCAGCACCAGAAUGGAAAAGAGUAAGAGACAGGUUGCUUUUCCUUCUGUGUCCAACUUAUUUGCUACCACAUGACAUGGAUUUUGUUCAGGAUCAGGACCUGGGCUGAAGGGCUGAGCUGCACUCCCACUUUGCAAUGCCACUGGCAUUGAGUUCUUGCUUUGCCAUAGCCAGAAAAUGGUUUCUCCAUGCAAAGCAACAAACACAAGCGUGGAGGUUGCCAUGACAGCUCCGAGGAGAAACUGGGUCAGCCCUGCAGUCUGUGGAGGGGACCAGUCAUGGCUGCCUGGUGGUCACCUGCAA
This is a non-coding RNA of Taeniopygia guttata (zebra finch), 8345 nucleotides long. NCBI's taxonomy places the organism in Eukaryota, Metazoa, Chordata, Aves, Passeriformes, Estrildidae. The record is from RefSeq and is a predicted model, not a curated record.